Molecule: ribosomal RNA, 421 nt
Filed under: uncultured bacterium
Lineage: Bacteria
Description: bacterial SSU rRNA
Rfam family: Bacterial small subunit ribosomal RNA
Source: RNAcentral
UCAUGGCUCAGCGUGAACGCUGGCGGCAUGGCUAAAGCAUGCAAGUCGUACGUACCAGCAAUGGUAAGUGGCGGACGGGUUAGUAAUGCGAUCGAACGUACCCUGAGGUGGAGGAUAGCGAUGGGAAACUGUCGGUAAUACUCCAUGUCCUCUCCGGAGAAAAGCUUUUGCGCCUUUGGAUCGGCGAUCGUCCUAUCAGCUAGUUGGCGGGGUAAAGGCCCACCAAGGCGAAGACGGGUAGCAGGUGUGAGAGCACGACCUGCAACAUCGGAACUGAGACACUGUCCGGACUCCUACGGGAGGCUGCAGCGACGAAUCUUCUGCAAUGAGCGAAAGCUUGACAGAGCAAUGCCGCGUGUGGGAUGAAGCGUCUAUGACGUGUAAACCACUGUCAGGGGAUGGAACCAACGAUUAUCCCCAG